UGGGGAAUAUUGGACAAUGGGCGCAAGCCUGAUCCAGCCAUGCCGCGUGUGUGAAGAAGGCCUUCGGGUUGUAAAGCACUUUUGUCCGGAAAGAAAUCCUGUCGGUUAAUACCCGGCGGGGAUGACGGUACCGGAAGAGUAAGCACCGGCUAACUUCGUGCCAGCAGCCGCGGUAAUACGAAGGGUGCAAGCGUUACUCGGAAUUACUGGGCGUAAAGCGUGCGUAGGUGGUGAGUUAAGUCUGUCGUGAAAGCCCCGGGCUCAACCUGGGAAUGGCGAUGGAUACUGGCUCGCUAGAGUGCGGUAGAGGAGAGUGGAAUUCCCGGUGUAGCAGUGAAAUGCGUAGAGAUCGGGAGGAACAUCAGUUGCGAAGGCGGCUCUCUGGACCAGCACUGACACUGAGGAGCGAAAGCUAGGGGAGCAAA
RNAcentral lists this ribosomal RNA (425 nucleotides) under uncultured bacterium. RNAcentral describes it as "bacterial SSU rRNA". It matches the Rfam family "Bacterial small subunit ribosomal RNA", at positions 355 to 772 of the family's 1533-position model. The record is from RNAcentral.